Molecule: ribosomal RNA, 392 nt
Filed under: uncultured bacterium
Lineage: Bacteria
Description: partial 16S ribosomal RNA
Rfam family: Bacterial small subunit ribosomal RNA
Source: RNAcentral
AUACGGAGGAUCCGAGCGUUAUCCGGAUUUAUUGGGUUUAAAGGGUGCGCAGGCGGCCAUUUAAGUCAGCGGUUAAAUCGUGGGGCUCAACCCCAUUCUGCCGUUGAUACUGGGUGGCUUGAUUGCGGUCGAGGUUGGCGGAAUUCGUUGUGUAGCGGUGAAAUGCAUAGAUAUGGCGAAGAACACCGAUUGCGUAGGCAGCUGACCAGACCGCAAAUGACGCUCAUGCACGAAAGUGCGGGGAUCGAACAGGAUUAGAUACCCUGGUAGUCCGCACAGUAAACGAUGAGUACUUGUUUUCGGCGAUAUAAUGUCGGAGGCAAAGCGAAAGCGAUAAGUAUUCCACCUGGGGAGUACGCCGGCAACGGUGAAACUCAAAUGAAUUGGCGGGG